AACGAACGCUGGCGGCGUGCUUAACACAUGCAAGUCGAACGCGAAAGGGACUUCGGUCCCGAGUAGAGUGGCGCACGGGUGAGUAACGCGUGGGAACAUACCUUUUGGUUCGGAACAACACAGGGAAACUUGUGCUAAUACCGGAUAAGCCCUUACGGGGAAAGAUUUAUCGCCGAAAGAUUGGCCCGCGUCUGAUUAGCUAGUUGGUGAGGUAACGGCUCACCAAGGCGACGAUCAGUAGCUGGUCUGAGAGGAUGAUCAGCCACAUUGGGACUGAGACACGGCCCAAACUCCUACGGGAGGCAG
RNAcentral lists this ribosomal RNA (306 nucleotides) under uncultured Pseudomonadota bacterium. Its description in RNAcentral is "bacterial SSU rRNA". It matches the Rfam family "Bacterial small subunit ribosomal RNA", at positions 29 to 351 of the family's 1533-position model. The record is from RNAcentral. Lineage: Bacteria; Pseudomonadati; Pseudomonadota.